Molecule: unclassified non-coding RNA, 2714 nt
Filed under: Hevea brasiliensis (rubber tree)
Lineage: Eukaryota; Viridiplantae; Streptophyta; Magnoliopsida; Malpighiales; Euphorbiaceae
Source: RNAcentral
GGAGAGCAGAAUCGCUUGUCCGUCUCUAUCAUUUCUUGUCUCUCUGUUUGCGCUCUCUCUUUCAUUCUUUGCUUCUCUUCAACACAGAAGUGAAGAGGAGAAAGGAAACGAAUAGAGGAGAACGGAAAGGAAAGGAAAUCCUUCCAAGCAGCACCAGACACGCUUAUUUUGUUCUGUCAAUUAUAUCUUAUAUCUGGUUUUUUGUGCUUGGACGGAUUUGAUCUCCAAUUCUAUUUCUUUUUUGGCUUUGAUUUAUUGAGAAGGCGAGGAAAGAGAAGAUGAUGGUAGCUAACAGUUUCGAUCUGUGGCAAAAAGAUGCCUUCUUUUCUGCAGCUGAAGAGGUUCAGGAAUCUGCUGAUGUAAUGCAAUCAGCAUAUAGGAUGUGGAUAAGAGAGAAGAAAGAGGGAUCACUGGAGUAUCUAGAUGAACUGUCCAGAGACCUCCAAACUGCAUUAGGUACUGCAAAGUGGCAGUUGGAGGAGUUUGAGAGAGCUGUCAGGUUGAGCCAUGGACAUCGCAGUGAUGAUAUUGCAGCGUCUAGGCAUAAACAAUUUGUUGUUGCUAUUCAAAGUCAAAUAUCAGAUGUUGAAGCAGCAUUAAGGGAAGCUUUCACUGAGGAAGGAAAGCAACCUCUUCAAUGGGUGACUCUGAAUAAAGAAGAAUGUGAUGAUUUGGCCUUAUUUCUAUCAGGAACUCCCCAAACUCCACAAAUUGUAAAAGAUAAUUCCACUGCACAUAGACUUUUGGAAUGUCCUUUCAUGGAGAUUCAUCAUACGAGAAAAGAUGCAGAUCAUAAUCUUAAGGCUACCUGUAGUACAGGUACUUACAAUGAAAAGGAUUUUAAGGAUGUGGUUACUAGUAACAAACACGAUGAAUUUAUUGUAGAUAUAGAGGGAAGAGAAACUUCUAGAAUGAAAGAUGAUAUAAUCUGUCAAUCUGAUAAAACAAAUGGGGCAAGAAAAACAUGGAGUUCACCAAAUUUUGGUGCUUUGAAGAUCGUAAUUGCUGAUGAAAGUGAACAUCGAAAUGGAUCAAUUCCAAGAAUUGAGGUCACACCUAAAGAAAAAGGGUCCAAACAUCUCUUCUGGAAGCCAAGAUCUGGAGAAUAUUCUCGAGGAAAGGGAUCAUGUAAUAUGUUCAAUCAGCUUUUUGGUCAGGUUGGUGGGUUCCAAAGGCAAGCACCAUCUAACCUACAGUUCAGUUGUUCUGUUCAACUUACAUUAGCUUUGAUGCUAAGUAUUUUUUUGAUUGUGCCUUUCCUGCUUUAUUCAGCUUGAGAGGAAGUGGUAACUUAUCGCUCUUGAUUAAGGUGAGAGUUUCAUUUCCUUUUACUCUAAAACCUUUUCUUUUCCAUUAUAGUAACCAUACAAACUCAAAUUUGAUGAAUGAAACAUAAAGCGAGGCAAUAGAGUCUUUGCUUCUUUGCAAAUGGUAGGAUUUGAUCCUACAUUUCUAGCUUUAUGGUGAUUAAAAUUUAUUACUAGACGAAGACACAGCGGUGAUCAAGUAUUGACUUACGGUUUAUAUGUUAAAUCCAAAACGGAGUUUUUUAUGAAUAUUUUUACUUUUCUUGUGUGGCUUCUAAUGCUUUCAUCACAUCACAAUGAUUACAGAUUCAGCCUAAAACUUGAAAUUGAAAAUGUUUUGCCAGAAAAUAAGUGAAUCCUUGCCCACCCUUCUUUUCCACAUCAACUUGAUUCCAGAUUUCAGCCUGAAACUUGAGGAGAUUUUUUUUUUCCCUCCUAUCUGUAUGGCACUAUUGGCACUGAAUUUCAUGUUAUAAUAGAUUCCCAUGAAGUUGAUUUCUUUAUUUCUUCUCACUUGUUUGUUUUGGUUGAUAAAGAUUUGAAUUACGUUCCACAUUCAACAAUCAAAGAAGCUUGUUAAAUUUCCAUUUCAGCAUGUUAAUGUGGAUAUUAAGGGUGAGAAUCAUACUUAAGGUCUGUUUAGCAUUGCCGUUAGAGUUGCUGUUGAAAAAAAGUAUUUUCUUAAAUAUAUUAGUUAAAGAAUUUAUAAAUUGAUUAAACAUUAAAUUUGAUAUGUUUUGGCCAUAAGAACACAAACAACAGAACAAUUUUUUUUUUUGAAACUGCUUUUCUCAACAGCAUUAAUAUGGAAAACUUUUUUUGAAAAGCACUUUUUUGACUUUGAAACUCAAUGCCAAAUGGGGCCUUAAUGGUAAUGGUGUUUUAUAUGCAGGUGCUGAAGGUAUUUCUGGAUAAGGGAAAGCGUGUAUUAAGGAGGAUGCAGACAAUUACCAACAUCUUCCAGUCUACUCUUACCGUUAGGGAUAAGGCUAGCCUAGCUCUGUGAACCACAGUAGUGAAACUAGCAACAGGAAUAUGGGGUAUUGUAUUCCCUACUCCCUAACCACACAAAGUGUACAUGUAUUCAUGUAGUCUCAAAACGUAUUUGGUAGUGUACAAAAAUCCCAUUUGAGUUGAACUUCAAAUUUAAGAUCAAAAGUUUGAGGGCUAAAUUGUAAUAAUGGAGCUUUUGUUUGCUUGCACUAAAUAAUCAUUUGUGUUGAUUAAUCAAUGUUAAAAAUUACCAGUAUGAAUGCUUGGGAAAUAAAUGGCAUUAGAUUGUAGUCAAUGACCUACUUUUGUCUGGGGUAUUUAACAAAAUGCUCACUGUGGUCUUGCAAACUUAAUAGGCACGGCCUGGUAUUUUUAAUUUUUAACACUUUAGUCCUAUUUCGUUAUUGUGAAUUG